This 259-nucleotide unclassified non-coding RNA is filed under the name Hevea brasiliensis (rubber tree). Lineage: Eukaryota; Viridiplantae; Streptophyta; Magnoliopsida; Malpighiales; Euphorbiaceae. The record is from RNAcentral.
UUUUGGCGAUCAAUACAGAGCAAUUGACACAGUUAUUAAGGGACCUGGGAAGCUCAAAUUAGUAUUUGAGGGAAAAGAAGAGGAACUAGAGCUACAGGUCUUCAAUUUCACAGGUGCUGGUGGAGUGGCCUUGUCUAUGUAUAAUACUGAUGAGUCAAUUCGUGCAUUUGCCGAGGCCUCGAUGAAUACGGCCUACCAGAAAAAAUGGCCUCUUUAUCUCAGCACCAAAAAUACGAUUCUCAAGAAGUAUGAUGGAAGG